UACGAAGGGGGCGAGCGUUGUUCGGAUUUACUGGGCGUAAAGGGCGCGCAGGCGGCGCAUUUUGUCAGGCGUGAAAGCCCCGGGCUUAACCUGGGAACUGCGUUUGAUACGGAUGGGCUAGAGUUCGGGAGAGGAGAGUGGAAUUCCCAGUGUAGAGGUGAAAUUCGUAGAUAUUGGGAAGAACACCGGUGGCGAAGGCGGCGACCUGGACAGUAACUGACGCUGAGACGCGAAAGCGUGGGGAGCAAACAGG
RNAcentral lists this ribosomal RNA (253 nucleotides) under uncultured bacterium. Its description in RNAcentral is "partial 16S ribosomal RNA". It matches the Rfam family "Bacterial small subunit ribosomal RNA", at positions 524 to 776 of the family's 1533-position model. The record is from RNAcentral.